UACAGAGGUCUCAACCGUUGUUCGGAUUCAUUGGGCGUAAAGGGUGCGUAGGCGGCGGGGUAAGUCAGGUGUGAAAUCUCGGGGCUCAACCCCGAAACUGCACUUGAUACUGCCUCGCUUGAGUACUGGAGAGGAGACUGGAAUUUACGGUGUAGCAGUGAAAUGCGUAGAUAUCGUAAGGAAGACCAGUGGCGAAGGCGAGUCUCUGGACAGUUACUGACGCUGAGGCACGAAGGCCAGGGGGGCAAACGGG
RNAcentral lists this ribosomal RNA (253 nucleotides) under uncultured bacterium. RNAcentral describes it as "partial 16S ribosomal RNA". It matches the Rfam family "Bacterial small subunit ribosomal RNA", at positions 524 to 776 of the family's 1533-position model. The record is from RNAcentral.